RNAcentral lists this ribosomal RNA (874 nucleotides) under uncultured archaeon. RNAcentral describes it as "bacterial SSU rRNA". It matches the Rfam family "Archaeal small subunit ribosomal RNA", at positions 21 to 903 of the family's 1478-position model. The record is from RNAcentral.
CCUGACUGCUAUCGGAUUGAUACUAAGCCAUGCGAGUCAUUGUAGCAAUACAAGGCAUACGGCUCAGUAACGCGUAGUCAAUCUAACCUAUGGACGGGGAUAACCUCGGGAAACUGAGAAUAAUACCCGAUAGAACAUUAUGCCUGGAAUGGUUUAUGUUUCAAAUAAUUUAUUGCCGUAGGAUGGGACUGCGGCCUAUCAGUUUGUUGGUGAGGUAAUGGCCCACCAAGACUAUUACAGGUACGGGCUCUGAGAGGAGUAGCCCGGAGAUGGGUACUGAGACACGGACCCAGGCCCUAUGGGGCGCAGCAGGCGAGAAAACUUUGCAAUGUGCGAAAGCACGACAAGGUUAAUCCGAGUGGUUUCUGCUAAAGGAACCUUUUGUUAGUCAUAGAACCACUAAUGAAUAAGGGGUGGGCAAGCCUGGUGUCAGCCGCCGCGGUAAAACCAGCACCUCAAGUGGUCAGGAUGAUUAUUGGGCCUAAAGCAUCCGUAGCCUGCUUUGUAAGUUUUCGGUUAAAUCCAUACGCUUAACGUAUGGGCUGCCGGGAAUACUGCACAGCUAGGGAGUGGGAGAGGUAGACGGUACUCGGUAGGAAGGGGUAAAAUCCUUUGAUCUAUCGAUGACCACCUGUGGCGAAGGCGGUCUACCAGAACACGUCCGACGGUGAGGGAUGAAAGCUGGGGGAGCAAACCGGAUUAGAUACCCGGGUAGUCCCAGCUGUAAACUAUGCAAACUCGGUGAUGCAUUGGCUUGAUGCCAAUGCAGUGCCGCAGGGAAGCCGUUAAGUUUGCCGCCUGGGAAGUACGUACGCAAGUAUGAAACUUAAAGGAAUUGGCGGGGGAGCACCACAAGGGGUGAAGCCUGCGGUUC